Molecule: ribosomal RNA, 465 nt
Filed under: uncultured bacterium
Lineage: Bacteria
Description: partial 16S ribosomal RNA
Rfam family: Bacterial small subunit ribosomal RNA
Source: RNAcentral
CCUAGGGGCGCUGCAGUGGGGAAUACUGGACAAUGGGGGAAACCCUGAUCCAGCAAUGCCGCGUGUGUGAAGAAGGCCUGCGGGUUGUAAAGCACUUUCGGUUGGGAGGACUGCUUCUAGCACUAAUAUUGUUGGAAGUUGACGUUACCUUCAGAAGAAGCACCGGCUAACUCCGUGCCAGCAGCCGCGGUAAUACGGGGGGUGCAAGCGUUAAUCGGAAUUACUGGGCGUAAAGCGCGCGUAGGCGGCUAGAUCAGUCGGGUGUGAAAGCCCCGGGCUUAACCUGGGAACUGCAUCCGAUACUGUCUAGCUUGAGUACAGGAGAGGAGAGUGGAAUUCCACAUGUAGCGGUGAAAUGCGUAGAUAUGUGGAGGAACACCAAUGGCGAAGGCAGCUCUCUGGCCUGAUACUGACGCUGAGGUGCAAAAGCGUGGGGAGCAAACAGGAUUAGAUACCCGGGUAGUC